GUCAGUUUUAAUUAUGUCAAUAUGGGCGGGUUUAAAUUAUAUAGGAUUGUAAGAAGUUGAACCUUACUUUGUAUAUAUAGAAAUUCAAAAAUGGUCGCAGUUACCGUGGAAUUGGUAUAAGAAACAUCCGAAAUUACUUCAGUUGCCAUGGAAACAUGGGAAUGUUUAAUGUAUAAAGAAAAAACGCACACUUUGACAGUAAACAUCGUUUAUCGUUCG
This 219-nucleotide long non-coding RNA is filed under the name Mytilus galloprovincialis (Mediterranean mussel). Lineage: Eukaryota; Metazoa; Mollusca; Bivalvia; Mytilida; Mytilidae. The record is from RNAcentral.